UUCAGCAUGGCUAUUCAACCUCCUUAACAAGUGGGCCAAAAAGGAAAACCGCUGGUGGUUCAUGGGCCACACAUACAAAACUUAUAAUGUCAAUUAAUCGCUACAAAUAAAUCGUACUUAAAGUAGUGUUAACUUCAUAUAUAUAGUACUGCUAAAUGGAUUAAACUUGUAAGACGCAUUCCUUUCUUUUUCACUUCUAAAUGCAUCAUUAUAACAAUUUUUGACCUUACAUAUUUUGGACACAUAUUUUUAAUAUCAAUUUUUGUUCUUACAUAUUUCUGACACAUUUGUAAUAACAAUUUUUGUUCUUACAUAUUUUUUGACACAUUGGAAUAACUUUUUUUGUUCUUGCAUUUUUUGACACAUUUAUAAUAACAAUUGUUGUUCUUACAUAUUUUGGACACAUUUUUAUGAUUCAAAAAUGUUGUUGGAAUCAUCACAAUCUAGAACUACUGUGCAUAUGAGACAUUUUGAGCCUGUUAUAUUGAGCCUAUAUAUAUUAGAAAUUGCAUUGCCUUGAUUUUGUUAUUUCAGCAUAGUUUGGUUCAUACGUUGUAAGGCCAAUCCUGAGACACUCAUGCAGCUUCUCAAUGGUCAUGGAGCAACGUACCCUUGUUUUGAUGGCAUUCAUAUGAGAAAACUGGCAGCAAACGAGCCGUGAUUUGAGUUGUAGUGCCUCUUCACGUUGUAUUCCUUCAUCAUGGAAAUGGCUUUGUUGCACACUAAACACAUCGGUUUACUACUUGUGGCGGAUGGCAAAGUAAAUAAAUAUUUUUCAGUCCAUUCGCUUUUGAAUAGGCGAUUUUCAACAUCAACCUUACGUUUUUUGGCUUGGAAAGAGACAUCUUGGAGCUGUUGUAGCCUAGCUAAAGUGAGUUUCUCCGUGGUCCGCAAGCAUAAAAUGCAACGUGAGCUUGAUUGAGGCAAUGGCAGGUGCAGACAGAGCGGGUGUAAUCCUGUUGCCGUAGCAUUCUCUGCGUUUAUUCGCUGGUCAUAUAUAUUACACACGCGAACCUGAUUUGCAGGCAACAAUUUUCCUAAUUUAUUUUUAUUUUUUUAAAAAACUUUUUUUAGGUCUGCAUCUGGGCUCCAAACGAAAACCGAAAACGAACAGAAUUUUACGAGGAACGGAAACGAAAACCAAAUGGUCUUCAACUGUUCCGAACAGAAACGUUAUUCUGAAAUCCCCAAAACCGGUUAAUAACGUGUUUUUUUUCGUUCUCUAUAUAGCCUAUACAAUUUCCCAAAAGCAUAGCCUAUUUCAUGAAAAAAAAUUGUUUUCCUGUUGCCGCGUUCACUUCGCCUCCCGCUAAGCCCAGUUGUCACAAAUUCCCACCACCACCCUGGCGAGAGGCCGUAUGCCAUUUCAGUUGCGAUCUUCAAUAGGCCUUACUUGCACAGUGACAUUUAUUUGGAAAUUAUGUUUGCAAUGUAGGCCUGUGAAGAUAAUAUAUUGUGCCUGCCCAGUUUUUGCUGUUUUGGAAAUGUGACAGGUCCUGAAGCCAGCAACGAAAGAGCUACUUUUGCUGGACUCGCUUAGACCAGAUGGCUUUGGCGACAGUUGUUACCAUAACAUAUUUAGGUUUCGUAACAUAAGAACAAUCAGCCCUGUUCUGUGGCUUGUUCAGUACUGGAAUUCUACAGAAUUCAUAGUAUUCCAAUAAUGCAGUAACACAGCUCAUUGGCCAGGUUUGUCAAAUGAAAAAAAAAAUUUGCUUUAUAGUAUCCGUGUGUUUUUGUAUUAUUUGAAACUAUCAAAUUAACAGAUCUUUGCCUUUCACAGAAUGCACUCAAAUGGCUGCAUUAUGUGGAUGUACUGACCUCAGUACACCAAAAUGGAGCACAGAUGCUCCAUUUUGGUGCUGAGGUCAGUAUUAUGUAGAGACAAAUACAUGAACAAAUAGACAAAUUGUGAAGUACUGAUUUCUAACUGAAAAUGACCAUUCCUCAACUUCAAUAUUCUAUCAUUUAUUUUAGCGAGACAUGGCACACAUCAGGACAUGAUGGUGCAUUAAUUUGAUGGAACGGUUCCAGAUUGAUGGGUAAGACAACUUUAAAUGUAACUUCCUACACAACAUUAAUUAUACAUUAGUUAACCUUUUUUUUCUGUCACUGUCACUCGAAAGCCACCGACAGAGGUUUGCAUACUGGACAAAUGAGGCCACAGCAUUGCUCUAAGGAUCACUGCAGCCGAUCUACAGGAUCCCGAAGACCAGAAAAAGGGAUCAUGAGGUUCAGUUUGAAAAGGCCGACAGGUGCUUCAUAUUGGAGAUGCCAACAUCUGUGCUUGAUGAAAUCCUCAAAGAGGUGGUGCUCCAGGAAGGAGAUAAUGUCUACCUGACAUUGGCUCUGGUGUGUACCACAUUCAGAGACAUUGUGUCCACCAAUUAUUUGAGAAGACGGGCACAUUUUCAGUGGCUUGACAGUGUUGCUACCUGGAGUAGGUUUUCUGCAAUGUACAAAAAAGCUUUCUGCACCAUUUACACCAUUGACACCUGCCUUGGAUGUGGACGAAUAUAUAAAAACUGCACACCAGGUAUACAUCUUAUA
Molecule: long non-coding RNA, 2550 nt
Organism: Gadus macrocephalus (Pacific cod)
Lineage: Eukaryota; Metazoa; Chordata; Actinopteri; Gadiformes; Gadidae
Exons: 4
Source: RefSeq, a predicted model, not a curated record